RNAcentral lists this ribosomal RNA (425 nucleotides) under uncultured rumen bacterium. RNAcentral describes it as "bacterial SSU rRNA". It matches the Rfam family "Bacterial small subunit ribosomal RNA", at positions 354 to 776 of the family's 1533-position model. The record is from RNAcentral.
GUGGGGAAUAUUGGUCAAUGGCCGAGAGGCUGAACCAGCCAUGCCGCGUGCGGGAGGACGGCCCUAUGGGUUGUAAACCGCUUUUGUUGGGGAGCAAUAAGGAGCACGUGUGCUUCGAUGAGAGUACCCAGCGAAUAAGCAUCGGCUAACUCCGUGCCAGCAGCCGCGGUAAUACGGAGGAUGCAAGCGUUAUCCGGAUUUAUUGGGUUUAAAGGGUGCGUAGGCGGGUUCUUAAGCGUGAGGUGAAAUGCCACGGCUCAACCGUGGAACUGCCUCGCGAACUGGGAGUCUGGAAUGCCCCUGCCGUGGGAGGAAUGUGUGGUGUAGCGGUGAAAUGCAUAGAGAUCACACAGAACACCGAUUGCGAAGGCAUCUCACGAAGGGGUGAUUGACGCUGAGGCACGAAAGCGUGGGGAUCAAACAGG